Molecule: transfer RNA, 74 nt
Filed under: Podarcis lilfordi (Lilford's wall lizard)
Lineage: Eukaryota; Metazoa; Chordata; Lepidosauria; Squamata; Lacertidae
Rfam family: tRNA
About the family: Transfer RNA (tRNA) molecules are approximately 80 nucleotides in length. Their secondary structure includes four short double-helical elements and three loops (D, anti-codon, and T loops).
Source: Rfam by way of RNAcentral
AACUCUGUGACACAAUGGCUCAGUGCAUCUGGCUGUUAACCAGGAGGUUGGUGAUUCGAGCCCAGCCAGGGAUA